Molecule: transfer RNA, 77 nt
Filed under: Seongchinamella sediminis
Lineage: Bacteria; Pseudomonadati; Pseudomonadota; Gammaproteobacteria; Cellvibrionales; Halieaceae
Also listed under: 2 other names
Description: Halioglobus sp. U0301 tRNA-Arg
Rfam family: tRNA
About the family: Transfer RNA (tRNA) molecules are approximately 80 nucleotides in length. Their secondary structure includes four short double-helical elements and three loops (D, anti-codon, and T loops).
Source: RNAcentral
CCGCCUGUAGCUCAGCUGGAUAGAGCAGCCGCCUCCUAAGCGGCAGGUCGCAAGUUCGAAUCUUGCCAGGCGGACCA